GACGAACGCUGGCGGCGUGCUUAACACAUGCAAGUCGAACGGAAAGGCCCUGCUUUUGUGGGGUGCUCGAGUGGCGAACGGGUGAGUAACACGUGAGUAACAUGUCCUUGACUGUGGGAUAUCUUCAGGAAAAUGGGGCUAUUACCGGGAAGGAGCUCCCGCUGCAUGGUGGGGGUUGGAAAGUUUCGGCGGUUGGGGAUGGACUCGCGGCUUAUCAGCUUGUUGGUGGGGUAGUGGCAUACCAAGGCUUUGACGGGUAGCCGGCCUGAGAGGGUGGCCGGCCCCAUUGGGACUGGGAUACGGCCCGGACUCCUACGGGAGGCAACAGUGGGGGAUAUUGCCCAACGGGCGGAAGGCUGGUGCAGCAACGCCGCGUUCGGGGUGGCAGCCUUCGGGUUGGAAACCGCUUUCGCCUGUGCCGGAGCGUGAGUGACGGUAAUGGGUAAAGAAGCCCCGGCUAACUACGUG
RNAcentral lists this ribosomal RNA (468 nucleotides) under uncultured bacterium. RNAcentral describes it as "partial 16S ribosomal RNA". It matches the Rfam family "Bacterial small subunit ribosomal RNA", at positions 28 to 507 of the family's 1533-position model. The record is from RNAcentral.